GGGGAUUUAGCUCAGUGGUAGAGCCCUUGCCUAGCAAGCGCAAGGCCCUGGGUUCAGUCCCCA
Non-coding RNA from Rattus norvegicus (Norway rat), 63 nucleotides. The record is from Rfam. NCBI's taxonomy places the organism in Eukaryota, Metazoa, Chordata, Mammalia, Rodentia, Muridae.